UGGCAAGUGGCUAGCCCUCAGGUUCC
Molecule: non-coding RNA, 26 nt
Filed under: Mus musculus (house mouse)
Lineage: Eukaryota; Metazoa; Chordata; Mammalia; Rodentia; Muridae
Source: RNAcentral